RNAcentral lists this ribosomal RNA (460 nucleotides) under uncultured bacterium. RNAcentral describes it as "partial 16S ribosomal RNA". It matches the Rfam family "Bacterial small subunit ribosomal RNA", at positions 338 to 795 of the family's 1533-position model. The record is from RNAcentral.
CCUACGGGAGGCAGCAGUGAAGAAUAUUUGUCAAUGGGCGCGAGCCUGAACCAGCCAAGUAGCGUGAAGGAUGACUGCCCUACGGGUUGUAAACUUCUGUUAUGAAGGAAUAAAGUGAGGCACGUGUGCCUUUUUGUAUGUACUUUAUGAAUAAUGAUCGGCUAACUCCGUGCCAGCAGCCGCGGUAAUACGGAGGAUCCGAGCGUUAUCCGGAUUUAUUGGGUUUAAAGGGAUCGUAGCUUGGUUGUUAAGUCCGUUGUGAAAGUUUGCGGCUCAACCGUAAAAUUGCAAUUGAUACUGGCAGACUUGAGUACAGUUGAGGUAGGCGGAAUUCGUGGUGUAGCGGUGAAAUGCUUAGAUAUCACGAAGAACUCCGAUUGCGAAGGCAGCUUACUAAACUGCCACUGACAUUGAUGCUCGAAAGUGUGGGGAUCAAACAGGAUUAGAUACCCCAGUAGUC